Molecule: ribosomal RNA, 468 nt
Filed under: uncultured bacterium
Lineage: Bacteria
Description: partial 16S ribosomal RNA
Rfam family: Bacterial small subunit ribosomal RNA
Source: RNAcentral
GAUGAACGCUGGCGGCGUGCUUAACACAUGCAAGUCGAACGGUGAAGGCGGAGCUUGCUCUGCUGGAUCAGUGGCGAACGGGUGAGUAACACGUGAGCAAUCUACCCCUGACUCUGGGAUAAGCGCUGGAAACGGCGUCUAAUACUGGAUACGAGCUGCGAAGGCAUCUUCAGCAGCUGGAAAGAAUUUCGGUCAGGGAUGAGCUCGCGGCCUAUCAGCUUGUUGGUGAGGUAAUGGCUCACCAAGGCGUCGACGGGUAGCCGGCCUGAGAGGGUGACCGGCCACACUGGGACUGAGACACGGCCCAGACUCCUACGGGAGGCAGCAGUGGGGAAUAUUGCACAAUGGGCGAAAGCCUGAUGCAGCAACGCCGCGUGAGGGACGACGGCCUUCGGGUUGUAAACCUCUUUUAGCAGGGAAGAAGCGAAAGUGACGGUACCUGCAGAAAAAGCGCCGGCUAACUACGUG